RNAcentral lists this RNase P RNA (233 nucleotides) under Planctomycetota bacterium. RNAcentral's name for it is "Planctomycetes bacterium (bioreactor metagenome) partial RNase P RNA component class A". It matches the Rfam family "Bacterial RNase P class A", at positions 1 to 231 of the family's 367-position model. From Rfam's summary of the family: Ribonuclease P (RNase P) is a ubiquitous endoribonuclease, found in archaea, bacteria and eukarya as well as chloroplasts and mitochondria. Its best characterised activity is the generation of mature 5'-ends of tRNAs by cleaving the 5'-leader elements of precursor-tRNAs. The record is from RNAcentral. Lineage: Bacteria; Pseudomonadati; Planctomycetota.
CUUGGUCCCUGGGCGGCCGCCGGCGGCAUCUGCCGCGGGAGGAAAGUCCGGGCUCCCCAGGGCAGGGUGGUGGGCAACGCCCACCGUUCGCAAGAACAGGGACAGUGCCACAGAGAACAGACCGCCGGACGGCCGGGCAACCGGCGACGGCAAGGGUGAAACGGUGAGGUAAGAGCUCACCGCGCUGCGGGCGACCGCGGCGGCACGGCAAACCCCACCCGGAGGAAGACCGA